Sphaerobolus stellatus SS14 is the source of this 107-nucleotide transfer RNA. It matches the Rfam family "tRNA". From Rfam's summary of the family: Transfer RNA (tRNA) molecules are approximately 80 nucleotides in length. Their secondary structure includes four short double-helical elements and three loops (D, anti-codon, and T loops). Further hydrogen bonds mediate the characteristic L-shaped molecular structure. tRNAs have two regions of fundamental functional importance: the anti-codon, which is responsible for specific mRNA codon recognition, and the 3' end, to which the tRNAs corresponding amino acid is attached (by aminoacyl-tRNA synthetases). tRNAs cope with the degeneracy of the genetic code in two manners: having more than one tRNA (with a specific anti-codon) for a particular amino acid; and 'wobble' base-pairing, i.e. permitting non-standard base-pairing at the 3rd anti-codon position. Lineage: Eukaryota; Fungi; Basidiomycota; Agaricomycetes; Geastrales; Sphaerobolaceae. The record is from Rfam.
UCUUAGGUAGUAUAGUGGUUAGUAUUCGCGCCUGUCAAGCAAGACUAAGGGUUUAAAUCCAAAGUCAAAGCGCGCGCGAGACCGGGGUUCAAUUCCCCGCCUGAGAG